AUUGAACGCUGGCGGCAGGCCUAACACAUGCAAGUCGAACGAGUGGCGGACGGGUGAGUAAUGUCUGGGAAACUGCCUGAUGGAGGGGGAUAACUACUGGAAACGGUAGCUAAUACCGCAUACCAUCAGAUGUGCCCAGAGGGGAUUGGCUAGUUGGUGGGGUAACGGCUCACCAAGGCGACGAUCCCUAGCUGGUCUGAGAGGAUGACAGGCAAAACUGGAACGGAGACACGGUCCAGACUCCUACGGGAGGCAGCAGGGGGGAAUAUGGCACAAGGGGCGCAAGCCUGAUGAGGCCAUGCCGCGUGUAUGAAGAAGGCCUUCGGGUUGUAAAGUACUUUCAGCGGGGAGGCGUUACCCGCAGAAGAAGCACCGGCUAACUCCGUGCCAGCCGCCGCGGUAAUUC
Molecule: ribosomal RNA, 406 nt
Filed under: uncultured bacterium
Lineage: Bacteria
Description: partial 16S ribosomal RNA
Rfam family: Bacterial small subunit ribosomal RNA
Source: RNAcentral